Spinacia oleracea (spinach) is the source of this 776-nucleotide long non-coding RNA. RefSeq lists it as uncharacterized. The transcript has 2 exons. Lineage: Eukaryota; Viridiplantae; Streptophyta; Magnoliopsida; Caryophyllales; Amaranthaceae. The record is from RefSeq and is a predicted model, not a curated record.
ACUCCGUACAUCAGAAAUAUAAGAUAAUAAGAUUGAAAUAAAGUGAAGUGAAAUACUACUUAGCAGUUAGCACCAUGGUUCAGCCCUUUCACUUAUUAAAGGGGCUGGACUUUUAUAGGGCUUUAAAAUGAAGGGCUUUAAAAGAGUUUGAUAGGGCUUUUAAAAGGAUUAGUUUAAAAGGUUAUGAAAAUAAAAAAAUCAGCAAACUCUAAAUAAAAAAAGAAAAAUACCUCCUCUCUCAUUUAGAACCUGUCAAACCCUAAAUUUUUCCCAAAAAAUUAACAACCCUUGUUUUCGUUCUCCUCUUUUACCCAAAAAUAAGAACCCUAAUUUUCUCUCUCCUCUUUUCCCAAUAUUAAUAACCCUAAUUCUCUCAAACAAUCGCCGUCGCUGUCGCCGUCGCCGCCAUAACAAUCACCUUCGCCGCCAGAAUAAUCGCCGUCGCCGCCUUCGAAUUCAGACUAAUUGGAGAAGCUCGAUUUUAAUCAUGGUAAACUAUACUGGAUGGAUAGUGUGUCGAGGGACGAGGGUUAGUAUAGAUUCAGGCCAGUAGGGUCCUUAAUGGGUCGGAUUAUAUAACCUUGUAUGUCCUCAACGUAUCGGAUUCGAAAAAUCCGGUAGCGGUGAUAGUAGAGGCAAUUGUCGGAGCCUGUCUUCUCAAUUCUCAUUACGUAUAUAUGUAUUCUCUCCUAAGGUUGUAAUCAUCUCAUGUUACUGUAUUUUAGGUAUAAGAUUUCGUAUCAAUUUUUUGGUUAAUUAAUGUUAUUUUUACUACA